RNAcentral lists this ribosomal RNA (369 nucleotides) under uncultured bacterium. RNAcentral's name for it is "bacterial SSU rRNA". It matches the Rfam family "Bacterial small subunit ribosomal RNA", at positions 27 to 396 of the family's 1533-position model. The record is from RNAcentral.
GGACGAACGCUGGCGGCGUGCUUAACACAUGCAAGUCGAGCGGUAAGGCCCUUUCGGGGGUACACGAGCGGCGAACGGGUGAGUAACACGUGGGUGACCUGCCCUCAGCUCUGGGAUAAGCCUGGGAAACCGGGUCUAAUACUGGAUAUGACUCCAUGACGCAUGUUGUGGGGUGGAAAGCCUUGUGCGGCUGAGGAUGGGCCCGCGGCCUAUCAGCUUGUUGGUGGGGUGANGGCCUACCAAGGCGACGACGGGUAGCCGGCCUGAGAGGGCGACCGGCCACACUGGGACUGAGACACGGCCCAGGACUCCUACGGGAGGCAGCAGUGGGGAAUCUUGCGCAAUGGGCGAAAGCCUGACGCAGCGACG